Molecule: long non-coding RNA, 1000 nt
Organism: Daphnia magna
Lineage: Eukaryota; Metazoa; Arthropoda; Branchiopoda; Diplostraca; Daphniidae
Exons: 3
Source: RefSeq, a predicted model, not a curated record
GCUUUUGCAACACUUUUUCUGUUGAAAUUAUAGUCGGCGGUGGUCUCACCCGAAACAAUAGAAUGUCUUCCGUGCUGACGGCUGCUACAUUUUUUUUUUUUGUUAGCCCAAGUUCCAUGUCGUCAAAUAGUUCAUUUUAGAAUUCCAAUCAGACUAUCGUAAAUGGAAUUUAUUGCGCCAUUUAAAAGUUCUGUGUGCAACCAUCAUUUCUAGUGAACGCAACACAACACAUGACCAAAUUUAGCUAAACUUUUAUUUUGCAUAAAAAAGCCAAAAAACAAAACAAAACAAAAAAAAACAAAACAAAUUACACCGAGAAGAAAGGAAUGACUAACGAGCACUUUCUCUGGCGCUCUAGCCGCUAUUUAUAAACAAAGCAAAACGAACAAUAGAGCUGGUUAACUAUUUUUUCGUCGUCUUCCCCUUUUAUUUUCGCUUUUUUUUUUUCAAAAGUGAACAUUCCUGAUGAUCGCCUUCGUCGCCUGUGCCCUUCCAGCGCAGCGUAUAUAUACAGCACGCAGUUAACAUAACCAUCCUCUUUCUGCGCAGCAGGGACGCUACUUUUCUCCACCCACAAAGGUGUUACAGGCACCUGAGACCCCGAUGAAUAAUUUAUCCGCCACCCAUUCCAGAGUUUCCAGGUUGCUCUUGGCUGUGGGCGACUGGGCGCUCGUCGUUGCUUUCUUCUUCCCCUCUUUUCGGCUAUUUGGGAAAAGAAAGCUAUUUCGAGACAACAAGUUGAAGAAUGAGGAGACGUGGACGGCUGUGGACUUCCAUUACGGAGAAUUUCCUUUUAGCGUCUAGCGAUUGACGGAUGAUGGAAGUUAGGACCUUACGCGGUCGUUCAAGUUCCACUGGACCGAGCCAGGGUGCCUAUCAACGUCAAUAUCUAUUCCAUGCCACGUUUCCCUAGUUCUAUACCUCCAACGGAGAAACAUUGAUACAAGUAAAAAUUAAAAUACACAAACACAGACAAAAAUAUAAAGGAAAGAAACGCACA